RNAcentral lists this transfer RNA (76 nucleotides) under Sphaerodactylus townsendi. Its description in RNAcentral is "tRNA-Val". Lineage: Eukaryota; Metazoa; Chordata; Lepidosauria; Squamata; Sphaerodactylidae. The record is from RNAcentral.
GGGAGUUGUCAUGUCUCAGUGCUAGAGCAUCUGCUUGACAUGCAAAAGGGCCCAGGUUCUACCCAUGGUUUUCCCA